RNAcentral lists this ribosomal RNA (164 nucleotides) under Stenotrophomonas maltophilia. RNAcentral's name for it is "partial 16S ribosomal RNA". It matches the Rfam family "Bacterial small subunit ribosomal RNA", at positions 373 to 528 of the family's 1533-position model. Lineage: Bacteria; Pseudomonadati; Pseudomonadota; Gammaproteobacteria; Lysobacterales; Lysobacteraceae. The record is from RNAcentral.
GGGCGCAGCCUGAUCCAGCCAUACCGCGGUGGGUGAAGAAGGCCUUCGGGUUUGUAAAGCCCUUUUGUUGGGAAAGAAAUCCAGCUGGUUAAUACCCGGUUGGGAUGACGGUACCCAAAGAAUAAGCACCGGCUAACUUCGUGCCAGCAGCCGCGGUAAUACGA